UACGAAGGGAGCUAGCGUUGUUCGGAAUCACUGGGCGUAAAGCGCACGUAGGCGGAUGUGUCAGUCAGGGGUGAAAUCCCGGAGCUCAACUUCGGAACUGCCUUUGAUACAGCACGUCUUGAGUCCGAUAGAGGUGGGUGGAAUUCCUAGUGUAGAGGUGAAAUUCGUAGAUAUUAGGAAGAACACCCGUGGCGAAGGCGGCCAUCUGGACCAGCACUGACGCUGAGGCACGAAAGCCAGGGGAGCAAACGGG
This 253-nucleotide ribosomal RNA is filed under the name uncultured bacterium. RNAcentral's name for it is "partial 16S ribosomal RNA". It matches the Rfam family "Bacterial small subunit ribosomal RNA", at positions 524 to 776 of the family's 1533-position model. The record is from RNAcentral.